UUGACAGGGGGCCGCACAAGCGGUGGAGCAUGUGGUUAAUUCGAUGCAACGCGACGAACCUUACUUACUCUUGACAUCCAGAGAACUUAGCAGAGAAGCUUUGGUGUCUUCGGGAACUUUGAGACAAGUGCUGCAUGGCUGUCGUCAGCUCGUGUUGUGAAAUGUUGGGUUAAGUCCCGCAACGAGCGCAACCCUUUUCCUUUGUUGCCAGCGGUUCGGCCGGGAACUCAAAGGAGACUGCCAGGGAUAAACUGGAGGAAGGUGGGGAGGACGUCAAGUCAUCAUGGCCCUUACGAGUAGGGCUACACACGUGCUACAAUGGCAUAUACAAAGAGAAGCGACCUCGCGAGAGCAAGCGGACCUCAUAAAGUAUGUCGUAGUCCGGAUUGGAGUCUGCAACUCGUCUCCAUGAAGUUGGAAUCGCUAGUAAUCGUAGAUCAGAAAAAUACGAAGAAUACGUUCCCGGGCCUUGUCCACUCCU
Molecule: ribosomal RNA, 481 nt
Filed under: uncultured bacterium
Lineage: Bacteria
Description: bacterial SSU rRNA
Rfam family: Bacterial small subunit ribosomal RNA
Source: RNAcentral